Long non-coding RNA from Ailuropoda melanoleuca (giant panda), 948 nucleotides. RefSeq lists it as uncharacterized. The transcript is spliced from 3 exons. NCBI's taxonomy places the organism in Eukaryota, Metazoa, Chordata, Mammalia, Carnivora, Ursidae. The record is from RefSeq and is a predicted model, not a curated record.
UUCUAAGUGAAGAUCUGGAUGUUGGAAAGGCUCUAUUCCUUUAAACAAACUAUUCAAUGUCACUGUUGUGUCCUUACAGAUAACAAUGACAGCAAUCAUAAUACCUUCAAUAGAGGAUUUGUGGGCAACCUUGCAGGAACUCCGCACUCCCCCAGGGGUCUGUAAGACAACAGAGCUUGCGAAAGGUAUUAAUGGCCAUGAGUUUGAGAUGAUAUUUCCUGAUAAGAACCUGGAAAACAGCUGUUCCAGCUAUUUCAAAAGAGAACAACAAAGAACUAUUUGUCUCUGAAGAAAUGAAACCCCCAGGUAAGCCAGCAACCAACAACUACACCAACAUCUGGGAGCCGCAUAAUCAAUUCUGUGCUUAGGCAGGGGAGAGCUCUGCACCCACAUUGAUUUUAAAAUGCAAAUCUGAAUACAGCUAAUCUUCACAUAAAUAUAAUAGGUAUCGCAUUGAUUUUUUUCCCUCGUGGUCAUAUGAACAAUUAACUAAAGUGAUGGUAAAGAAGCAGCAUAAUAUUAUUUGAAGGUAGAUGGUGGUAAGUUGCAUAUUAUAAUCUCUAAAGCAACCACCAACAGGAACACACACACACACACACACACACACACACACACAAUAAGGGAUAGCUACAAGCCAAUAGAGGAGAUAAAAUGGAAUACUAAACAAUAGUCAAUUUGGUCAAAAGAAGGCAAGAAAGGAGGAAGAGAGGGACAAAGAACAGUUGAGGCAAAUCCAAAACAAAGAUGGGAGACUUGAACCCAACCAUAUUAAAAGCUCCAGUUAGGAUGAUAGUAGAAAAUUCAUGAGAAAACUAUAAGUAACAAUGACACUGACCACCAUUUAACAUGUUUUUAUUUAUUAUUUUUUAAAAGAUUUAUUUAUUUAUGUGAAAGAGAGAGAAAAUCGAAGCAGGGGAAGGGACAGAGGGAGAGAGAAAGAAUCUCAGG